This 530-nucleotide long non-coding RNA is filed under the name Homo sapiens (human). Its description in RNAcentral is "HSALNT0149864". The record is from RNAcentral. Lineage: Eukaryota; Metazoa; Chordata; Mammalia; Primates; Hominidae.
AGACUGGAGGGACAUUCUUAUCCUUGUGAGUUUCAAGACCAUUUGAGCAAAAUGUCAUGGGAGCAGGUAGCAGUCAUCACAUUAGAGGAAAAAUAAGUAGAGAGAAAAAGGAGGAGGAUCUUCUAUAUCCAGUCCAUUUUAUACAUUCUGGACCCAUCUGCCUGCUACCAGCAGUCUUCACUGGUCAACCACUCAACAAAGCAGUAGAGAUAUGUUGGACGUAGCUUUGAGCCUUUGUUCUUAUGGUCCUUCCCUCCCAGUUAAGACAUCUUUCCCUUUCUAUUGUUUCUUCUAGCUUUAUUAAUUCUGUGUGCCUCCUACAUAGGAGUGAUCUUUCUCUCCUCUGAACUCUAAUAAAACCUGUCUCACUUUGAGUUCCCAGGCAGUUGGUUGUGUCUCACAUGCGUAUUUCCUCAACAACACUGUAGUAAACUCUUUAAUGGGGUGAACUUCAUCUACUUUUCUGUAUAUACUUUGUGCCUUGAUCAAUCAAAUUGUCCAAUAAAUAUUAGCAAGAAUUUGAGUACUUA